CAUCAGUUCAUACAUCUCCUGAGUUUCUGUCUUUCAGCUAUCUAUUUUUCUUUUGUUUUCUAGGCUCAACCAACUGUCCUGGGAGACAAAAGAACCCUUCAAGUUGAGUCACCAAAAGAAGAAAAGCCAAGUAUUAAGUGUGAUUCUCCAGAUGGUGGCAAGAUCUGUGCAGUGAAUAACAACUCUACCAAUGUGAACAAGACGACAGAAUUGGAUCCUGUCUUGCAGAAGCUGUACACACCUCCUCAGACUAAGCUGGAGAUCCCAAAAUCAGAAGAGAAAAACCGGAAGACUUCCAAAGGCAUCGCAAAUACAGAAGAAAAGACACUGUAGGCUUCAGGAAGCCGUGUUGCAAAUGUCCGUUUGCUAAUGUCUUCACGUUAUUUUUAGUCCAAAGGCAUGACAAAAGUACUAAGUUUCUAGAGCAUGCAUCUUUUCCACUAUUUUAUGUAUGUUUGUAAAGUAGCCGAAAGAAUUUCCAAAGUCCAACACGCCAUUUACUAUCCUUUAGCAAUAAUCUAUUUGAAAUCGAUAUUCACAGAAAUGCUUUUGUAAUAGAGUCCAGUUUUUUAAGACAUUAUGCUGUCUGGAUCAGUAACUUGCUUAUUAUAAAAUAGUCGGUUUUGUACACUAAUGCCAUUUCAAAGUUUGUUUUAUUGCCUGAUUUUUUUUCCCCUAUAGUUAUUCUUUUCUGGGAUAGGCUUUGAUGGCAACAUGAAAAUAAAGAACACUCUUUUCAUUAGUACCA
Molecule: long non-coding RNA, 748 nt
Filed under: Phascolarctos cinereus (koala)
Lineage: Eukaryota; Metazoa; Chordata; Mammalia; Diprotodontia; Phascolarctidae
Description: lncRNA (ENSPCIG00000026219.2)
Source: RNAcentral